RNAcentral lists this ribosomal RNA (232 nucleotides) under uncultured bacterium. RNAcentral's name for it is "partial 16S ribosomal RNA". It matches the Rfam family "Bacterial small subunit ribosomal RNA", at positions 99 to 334 of the family's 1533-position model. The record is from RNAcentral.
CGGACGGGUGAGUAAUGUCUGGGGAACUGCCUGAUGGAGGGGGAUAACUACUGGAAACGGUAGCUAAUACCGCAUAACGUCGCAAGACCAAAGAGGGGGACCUUCGGGCCUCUUGCCAUCGGAUGUGCCCAGAUGGGAUUAGCUAGUAGGUGGGGUAACGGCUCACCUAGGCGACGAUCCCUAGCUGGUCUGAGAGGAUGGCCAGCCACACUGGAACUGAGACACGGUCCAG